AACGAACGCUGGCGGCAGGCUUAACACAUGCAAGUCGAGCGAGACCUUCGGGUCUAGCGGCGGACGGGUGAGUAACGCGUGGGAACGUGCCCUUCUCUACGGAAUAGCCCCGGGAAACUGGGAGUAAUACCGUAUACGCCCUUUGGGGGAAAGAUUUAUCGGAGAAGGAUCGGCCCGCGUUGGAUUAGGUAGUUGGUGGGGUAAUGGCCCACCAAGCCGACGAUCCAUAGCUGGUUUGAGAGGAUGAUCAGCCACACUGGGACUGAGACACGGCCCAGACUCCUACGGGAGGCAGCAGUGGGGAAUCUUAGACAAUGGGGGCAACCCUGAUCUAGCCAUGCCGCGUGAGUGGUGAAGGCCUUAGGGUUGUAAAGCUCCUUCAGCUGGGAAGAUAAUGACGGUACCAGCAGAAGAAGCCCCGGCUAACUCCGUG
RNAcentral lists this ribosomal RNA (433 nucleotides) under uncultured bacterium. RNAcentral describes it as "partial 16S ribosomal RNA". It matches the Rfam family "Bacterial small subunit ribosomal RNA", at positions 29 to 507 of the family's 1533-position model. The record is from RNAcentral.